GUCUAUGCCCAUUCCACCUUGAACGUGCCCGAUCUCAUCUGAUCUUGGAAGCUAAGCAGGGUUGGGUCUGGUUAGUACUUGGAUGGGAGAAAUCAAAAUGUCCAGGAUA
Ribosomal RNA from Panthera pardus (leopard), 109 nucleotides. Lineage: Eukaryota; Metazoa; Chordata; Mammalia; Carnivora; Felidae. The record is from Ensembl.